Molecule: long non-coding RNA, 628 nt
Organism: Oncorhynchus keta (chum salmon)
Lineage: Eukaryota; Metazoa; Chordata; Actinopteri; Salmoniformes; Salmonidae
Exons: 3
Source: RefSeq, a predicted model, not a curated record
GGUGAGCGCAUGAGGACCCACACCAAACACAGCCUUUUGGUGAGGUGGUGUACAAACUGUGUGUUAAGGGUGGUGUACAAACUGUGUGUUAAGGGUCACUUUUUCGGUGUGUAUGUGACUUUUUUGGUGGCUGAGCCAGUGUGGUUUGGGCGAGGGAGGGACUGUUGCAGCAGUUGCGGCUUGUGUGUUUUGAGGGUUAGUGCGACUAAGUUAGUGUGACUGUCAGUAGACGUGGAGUGGUUAAGCGUUCAUGGCGUCAGCGUCGCUCUAAGGUAUCUUAGUAGAGCUCCAGCCACUCUAAGGUAUCUUAGUAGAGCUCCAGCCACUCUAAGGUAUCUUAGUAGAGCUCCAGCCACUCUAAGGUAUCUUAGUAGAGCUCCAGCCACUCUAAGGUAUCUUAGUAGAGCUCCAGCCACUCUAAGGUAUCUUAGUAGAGCUCCAGCCACUCUAAGGUAUCUUAGUAGAGCUCCAGCCACUCUAAGGUAUCUUAGUAGAGCUCCAGCCACUCUAAGGUAUCUUAGUAGAGCUCCAGCCACUCUGAGGUACCUUAGUAACCACGCUAAGGUAUUUUAGCAUUAGUAUUAGUAUUAGCCUAUAGCGGCUAUGGGAUUAGAGAGGUGCAGUAGUG